UACAGAGGUGCCGAGCGUUAGGCGGAAUCACUGGGCUUAAAGCGUGUGUAGGCGGGUCGUUAAGUGUCUUGUGAAAUCCCACCGCUCAACGGUGGAACUGCUGGGCAUACUGGCGAUCUUGAGCCACCUAGGGGCAGACGGAACAAGCGGUGGAGCGGUGAAAUGCGUAGAUAUCGCUUGGAACGCCGACGGUGAAAACAGUCUGCUGGGGGUGUGCUGACGCUGAGACACGAAAGCCAGGGGAGCGAACGGG
Molecule: ribosomal RNA, 253 nt
Filed under: uncultured bacterium
Lineage: Bacteria
Description: partial 16S ribosomal RNA
Rfam family: Bacterial small subunit ribosomal RNA
Source: RNAcentral